UGGAGUAGACUAUUGUCCUUACUUUAUUAGCAAAUCAUUGAAGAUAGAUAUUUGUGAGGGCAUCCCAGCACAGACGGAUCGUGAUGCAGUUCACUCUUCACUUUUUGUUACUUGAUCGUCCUUCCUGCCUGAUCAGCUUGAUGAUGGCGUGAUGCCGACAUGUAACUCGAUGAGUCCCAUGUAUAAUAUAUAUGGCUCAGCGAUGCUAAUCCUCACUACUGUCACAGUACAUAGAACUGUCACAGUACAUAGAAAAGUGGUAGCCUACAAGAGAAAUAAAUACACAUCGUAAUAAAAUGCUACGGCAUACGUCAACAUUGAAACUGCACGGAAACAGAAAUGUUAAGUUACCUCGACCUCCCAAGGAUCUGAAGCUCAUCCUCCCAAGGAUCUAAAGCUCGAAGUUCAGACACACUCCUCUACAGCAAUUGACCAGACUUAUGGUGGUCACCGCCUUGCUCAUCGAUAAUCCAAUCUAUUUUCGUGAAAUUAUUACUAAGCCUGGCAAACACAAACAAAAAUAGACACAACAUCGACGAAUUAGGCGUAAAAUCUAAAAUAUCCAAGGGACACCUUUCAUAGAAUUCAUCUAUUUCCGCUAUAUCUUCAUUAAGGUACCAUUUACAAGCGGACCCACUAGACAAAGUCUCCUCACCUGCAUGAAAUGAGUACCAAACCUGGCGCAGCAAACACCCAAAACAACCAAUACAAAGAAGACAACGCCAAUUCAAAAACUAACCUCGGUACAACUUGACCAAAGUCCCAACAAAUAUCCCACCAACAGCAUGUUCCUGACCAAGCAGAUGAACCGCCUUAGCGUCAAACUCAUUUGCAUGAUUUCCCCGUAGAACAAGCUUCGUCUCCACACCACUGCAAACAUACAAUAAAAACACAUCACCAAUGGCACAUACAAAUAUAAAUAGCCACGUAUAAAAACCAAUAUAAUUAAGUCCAACGAACAAGCAACAUACUUCAAAUCCUUGAGACUGAUGACUCUCCUAGGUGUAUCAACCGAGUUACUCCCUACCCGUAUAUGAGUAACAUCAGACACACCAACUAUCAUUGCUAUAACAUCUGAAAGCACACACAAUCAUUGUAAGAGGGAAAUAAAAUCUAAAAGAAUAGUAAAUAACCUAACAAUCGAUAUCACAUCACCGACCUGUAAAAUAUGCCUGACUUUCUACCCGCGAAGAAAGAUCAUAAAGUGGUGAUAGGUGAAACACAAAUCGAGGAAAUGAUUCAAUGACAGGUUCGACACGAUCCAUCUUCGUCCACGCGGUAAGCUUGAUCAUAUACUUUGCACAAAAAGGCUUGUAGGAAGGCUUCAUAUUGACCACAAGGAACUUACUAAACGAAUACACAUCACCUUCCUCGACGGCACUCCUAACCUUAUCAACAUCACGCCCACCAGCUUCUGCGUACAUAACGUCCCCCUGCACACACCCAAAAGCCAGAU
RNAcentral lists this long non-coding RNA (1456 nucleotides) under Setaria viridis. RNAcentral's name for it is "long non-coding RNA (SVIR_LNC002761)". The record is from RNAcentral. Lineage: Eukaryota; Viridiplantae; Streptophyta; Magnoliopsida; Poales; Poaceae.